Molecule: long non-coding RNA, 118 nt
Organism: Phyllostomus discolor (pale spear-nosed bat)
Lineage: Eukaryota; Metazoa; Chordata; Mammalia; Chiroptera; Phyllostomidae
Exons: 3
Source: RefSeq, a predicted model, not a curated record
UUGGGCAUCGUCCUGCAAACUGAAAGGUCGCCAGUUUGAUUCCUGGUCAGGGCACAUGCCUGGGUUGUGGCCCCAGUCACCAGCUGGGGCCAUGCCAGAGGCAACCAAUUGAUGUUUC